RNAcentral lists this unclassified non-coding RNA (145 nucleotides) under soil metagenome. RNAcentral's name for it is "partial internal transcribed spacer 1". The record is from RNAcentral.
UAAUAAGUGUUUUAUGGCACUUUUUAAAUCCAUAUCCACCUUGUGUGCAAUGUCAGUCGAUCUUCUUCAUGGAAAUCGACCAAACAUCAACCUUUAUCUUUUAACUCUUUGUCUGAAAAAUAUUAUGAAUAAACAAUUCAAAAUA